Molecule: ribosomal RNA, 328 nt
Filed under: uncultured eukaryote
Lineage: Eukaryota
Description: partial 18S ribosomal RNA
Rfam family: Eukaryotic small subunit ribosomal RNA
Source: RNAcentral
CCCUUAGAUGUUCUGGGCCACACGCGCGCUACACUGACUACUUCAACGAGUUGUUUCCUUGAUCGAAAGGUCUGGGUAAUCUUUGAAAGGUAGUCGUGAUGGGGAUAGAUCCUUGCAAUUUUUGAUCUUCAACGAGGAAUUCCUAGUAAACGCAAGUCAUCAGCUUGCAUUGAUUACGUCCCUGCCCUUUGUACACACCGCCCGUCGCACCUACCGAUUGAAUGGUCCGGUGAAUCUUUAGGACUGUGGCUGAGGCCUUGCCUUGUGCGGGUCUGGCCGUGGGAAUUUAGUUAAACCUUACCAUUUAGAGGAAGGUGAAGUCGUAACA